This 41-nucleotide small RNA is filed under the name Vibrio coralliilyticus. RNAcentral's name for it is "isrK". Lineage: Bacteria; Pseudomonadati; Pseudomonadota; Gammaproteobacteria; Vibrionales; Vibrionaceae. The record is from RNAcentral.
GCACUGGCAAAAUCCAGUGCCGGGAUUGAGACCCCGUUUUU